RNAcentral lists this ribosomal RNA (253 nucleotides) under uncultured bacterium. RNAcentral describes it as "partial 16S ribosomal RNA". It matches the Rfam family "Bacterial small subunit ribosomal RNA", at positions 524 to 776 of the family's 1533-position model. The record is from RNAcentral.
UACGUAGGGGGCAAGCGUUGUCCGGAAUCAUUGGGCGUAAAGAGCGUGUAGGCGGUUCGGUAAGUCCGCUGUGAAAGUCCAGGGCUCAACCCUGGAAAGCCGGUGGAAACUGUCGAGCUAGAGUCCGGAAGAGGCGAGUGGAAUUCCUGGUGUAGCGGUGAAAUGCGCAGAUAUCAGGAGGAACACCAAUGGCGAAGGCAGCUCGCUGGGACGGUACUGACGCUGAGACGCGAAAGCGUGGGGAGCAAACAGG